This 254-nucleotide ribosomal RNA is filed under the name uncultured bacterium. RNAcentral's name for it is "partial 16S ribosomal RNA". It matches the Rfam family "Bacterial small subunit ribosomal RNA", at positions 524 to 776 of the family's 1533-position model. The record is from RNAcentral.
UACGAAGGGGGCUAGCGUUGCUCGGAAUUACUGGGCGUAAAGCGCACGUAGGCGGUCUUUUAAGUCGGGGGUGAAAUCCUGGAGCUCAACUCCAGAACUGCCUUCGAUACUGGAAGACUUGAGUCCGGGAGAGGUGAGUGGAACUGGCGAGUGUAGAGGUGAAAUUCGUAGAUAUUCGCAAGAACACCAGUGGCGAAGGCGGCUCACUGGCCCGGUACUGACGCUGAGGUGCGAAAGCGUGGGGAGCAAACAGG